GAAGCGGGCGCGGGGAGGAAAAGGAGGAGGAGGCAGAGGCGGUCUGGGCCGGGCCGGGCCUGACCCCUGCGUCCCGGGGGCACAGGCGUUCUUAAGGCUGCAGAGCCCUGGGUCCCCCACCCGGCCCCGGUUCACUUUGAGCGGUCCCAAGGCCUGAGGGCCUACUGUCCAGUCCCCAGGUUAUCGUCCUGAGCAAAGACAGACCCCGAGCCCUGCGGUCUUGGGGCUCAAACAGUCCCUGGAUGGCCAAACAAGCAAAUAUUCGCCAUGGCAGUGGGUGCUGGAAGGGUGGCUCACGGAGCUGACGCCCUCCGCAGAGAACCGUGGUCUAGUCCUGCGGUCACGAGGCCUAUCUGGGACAGUGGUGUUUGAGCUGAGACUUUAACGAAUAGAGACAGGUGAGGUUCCUGCAGCCCAGGGCUUCAGCGUGAACAACCCCAGAAGGAAAAAGAGUGCUGUUGUUAAAGGUAUCUGGCAUCAUGGACCCAACCAUCACCAGGAGUUUCUCACUUCAUCUCUGUGUGAUAAAUUUUGACAUAUGUAUACAUCCAUGAAGCCGGCACCACAAUCAAGAUAAUGAACAUCUCGCUUACCCCAGAAGUUUCCUGUGCCCUGUCACUCCUCCGUAUUCCUCCAUCCUCAGGAUUUCAUCAAAUGGUCUGCUGCACUGUGCUGGAAUUUUGAACUCCCCAGAGUAGUAAACAACAUCUUCUCAAGGGUAUACAAGUCAUCAGAUAGAGAAAACACCCAUUAUAGAGCUGUGGAGCCCUUACGAUAUAGUGCUAUGCUGCAACAAAUUAGACAGAAGAGUAUUUGUUGAAUAAUAAAAGGUAUCAAUGAACGAACAAAUAAAUUAAUGAGCUGAUGUAUUGAUUAAAUGAAUUUACUUCUUUCAGAUUUACUUUUCCAAACUAAAAAAAAAUUGUUUUAAACUUUGUUCCAAAGUUAUACAGUUUUUACAAAAAUAAAACUUUAUUUUUGAAUUGCUUUAUAUUUACAGAAAAGUUGCAAAGAUAUGGAAAGUUGCCUCACCCUAUAAUUAGCUUCUGACAUUAGUAUGGUACAUUUGUCACAAUUAUUGAACCAGUAUUGAUGAUAUGUUAUUAUUAACUAAAUUCUAUACUUUAUAAAGAUUUCCUCAGUUUUUACCUAAUGCCAUUUCUCUGUUCCAGGAACCCAUCCCAGAAAUCACAUUUCAUAUUGAUAUCAAGUUUCCUAAGACUCCUCUUCGUAGGUACAGUUUCAGGGCCAAAAUUUUAAGGGCCUUGAGUGUUUUGAGCAGUACUGGACAGGUGUUUUUUAGGAUGUCCCUCGACUGAGCUUUGACUGAUGAAUUGCUCAUGAUUGAAUUGGGACUAUGGGUCUUCAGAAGAAAGAUCAUGAGCCCUUUUUGUCACAUCAUGUCAAAGAUACCAUGCCAUCAAUACAACUUAUUACUGAUGAUGUUGACAUUGACCACUUGACUGAGAUAACAUUUGUCAGAUUUCUCCACUGUAAAGUUACUUUUCCCCACUUUCCAUACUAUACUCUUUUGUAGGAAGUCACUAUGCACAGGCCAUACUUAAAGAGAGCUCCAUCUCCUUGAGGGCAGAGUAACUACAUUAAAUAUUUGAAAUCUUUCUGCCCAGGAGAUUUGUCUAUUUUUCCAAUUUAUUUAUUCAAUCUAUUAUUAUUAUGUUAGAUAUGAGACCUUGCUAUGUUGCCUAGAUGGGUCUCAAACUCCUGAGCUCAAGUAAUCCUUCUGUCUCAGCCUCCUGAGCAGGUGGGACUAUAGGCAUGCACCACUGCACCUGACAAUCAUUUAUUGAUGGCAGUAUGAACUCAUGGACAUUUGUUUUAUCCUUAAGUUAUAACCCAAUAUUAUAUUAUUUUAUUGCUAAAUUAUUUCAGUUUUGGCCAUUGAAGCUCUUUUGUUUAAUGCCCAUGUCAUUUUGACAUACCUCUAUCAUUGUGGGAUUUCUUUUUACUUUUUUGCAGAUAUUUCUUUAGUUUUUGGCACUACAAGAGGCUCUAGUUUCAUCAUCUAUCCUGCCCCAGCCCAAGAUUCAACCAUUUCUUCAAGUAGCCCUUGCUCUUUUUUACUGUACAUUGUAAUUAAUAAUCAAGUUCUUGGCACUAGGUUCUUCAGAAAUUUUUUUUUAGUUUAUAUGUUUGUUGAUAAGGUAUUGAUAAAGAUUCUGCUAGUGAUUACCAAUGUAACUUUUGGCAAAUUAUCUGAAACAUGGAAAUAAUAAUUUCUACUUCAUAGGACUGUUGUACAUUUUAAAUGGAUUCACUAGGAUAGUGCACGGAGUAAAAGGAAACAAAUAGUAACUCUAAAUGGUAUUAUUACAAAU
Long non-coding RNA from Homo sapiens (human), 2336 nucleotides. Ensembl annotates it as SUCLG2 divergent transcript. Its record names the gene SUCLG2-DT. NCBI's taxonomy places the organism in Eukaryota, Metazoa, Chordata, Mammalia, Primates, Hominidae. The record is from Ensembl.